UGUGGUGCAGAGGGUUCAUUGGAAAAGUCAGAUUCGAUGCGGCGGUGGAUGGAAAUGAAGCGAAAUGGUUUUCUCUCUGGCCCUUUGGGUGGAGUAUCAGCACCGAGCUCUGCAGCACCAACUACUCCUGUUGAAGUACCUGCGCAAAAGCAGCAGAAGAAUAAGAGACGAGGCGAUUCUGUAAAGAAAAGAAACGAAGCUCCUAGGAAGGAACAGCAGCAGGUGGAUAGGUUCUCGAAUGUUACCGCGCCAAGUGGAUUGCUGACGGAGUUGAAUCCUGGGAUCAUUAACCAUGUCAGGAGCAAGAAGCAGGUCUGCUCAAUUAUUGAAGCGUUGAUUCGAAAUGCUACUCAUGAUGGGGAAAGAAAUACUGAUUUGAAUGUAAGAGGUAUCUAUAUCAUUCCCAUUUUAAUCCAUUAAGAUGUCAAUGUUAGUCAAUUCAGACUUUGAUCACUCUCUCGUUUAUCCAGGUUCAGUCAGAGAAGAUAAGGCACUAGCCUUUAAGUUACCAUCUUCUGGGGCAUCUGAUCAUGCCAACUCCUUUACAACCCCGGAACAAGCCACGUCUCUAGCUGUUCAAGGUUAGUGCCUUUUACUACACUUAUUCCUUGUUCUUCUAAAUGUCUUGAGUGGGUCAAGUCUUGUGGUGGAACAUGAAGAGUUUUGUUAGUACUGGUGCAUGAUGAUUAAUCUAUUGCAGAAAGAAAUGCUUAAAAAGGAAAAACGUUUGUUUCUUUUUAGCUGCUACCGUAGCAUCUCAAUGGUUGGAUUUUCUUCACCAAGACCUCAGUGGACGGCUUGCAGGUGUGUGUGUGUGUUUUACGGACAGGGGCUUCUCUGGUUAAUUGAGUUUUUAGUAAUCUGAGUGAGAUGUUAUGAUGUUAUUGCAGCUGUGCAGGAAAGUAAGAACAGAGUUCAUAAUAUCUUGACGGCCGAGUUACCACUUCUCGUUUCAUCAAAAGAGUCUUCUUCUACGAAUGUCUCUGGUGAUGUUACUUCUGAUAAAACAGGAACAGAGACGCAUCAUAUUAAGUGGUCUGCAAAAUUUGAUCAGAUUAAGAAAGCUCUUUUGGAUGAAGAGAAAGAUCUGGUGCGUACAUAUCCACUGACUUUCAAGCAAAGAAUGAUUAUACCCGUGGUUCUUAAGCUUGAAGCCAUGUUUUUUUUUUUGAAAUUCGCAGGAACAGUCAUUAAACCAAGUGAAGGAGAUGCAGUCACGAUGCAACGAAGGUCUACGACAAAUGGAUGAGUACUCGCCUUUCAGUUCUCAGUCAUCAGAUUCAAGGUGAGUAAGUUGAGACCAAACAGUAUCGUAGAAGCAUAAAAGAAAGACCGGUCUAACCAAUUUUCUUGAUGCAGUUUUGGGAAAGAUGGUAGCAGUGUGGAGAUUAGUAUGGCGGUUCAGGCGGCUGCAGCUUCUAUUUUUUCAACCUGCAGUUUUCUUCUGUCCAUGAUGAAGCCGCCGGCUACUAGUUCCUAAUCUGGAGACUAGUAUGACUCGACCACGGCUAUUCCCACAGCCUAUUGUAUUUUGUGUCCUCACUUGUGUUGGUUACCCAUAUGUAGUGUAAAUAACACGGGGUUGACAGUUUUUGUCAGUCGUAUAUGUAAACUUAUAGAAGACAUCUGUUUUUAUCAAUGCUACAAAGUUAGCAUUUGCUUCAAUACAGAUGUCUCUUCUAAGAGAGCAAAGUUUCCUUUGAAUAGAAAACACACGACUUAAUAAAGAGAUUUGUUGUCUCGUUGCUUUACUUCGUAAUGAAACAUUAAGAAGAAUUACAUAUUCUGGUUUGCUAUGAACUAGACAGCCAAGGCGGCGCCAUUUCGGCCACUGUUACCUCAGAAGGUGAGUUGUCUGGAAUCUUGGCAAGUGAGCAAUGUUGCAACUUAAUAGACUCUGCAUUGUCCACUGUCUUCACAACAUACCUGAAAUUGAAACCCAUAUUUGUUCCAAGAGCUUUAGAAUCUAAUGGAUAAAAUGAGUGCAAAGUUUAUAGCAAGAGGAAAACGACUUAACCAUCCAUUUAAGCAAUGUGUCAUUAUCACAGCCUUGCGUCCCACAAACCGUGGAGGUGUCCUUUUGUUUCCCUGAGCCAUAGAAAUAUUUAAUUAAAUUGUAUUUAUCAUAAUAUUAAUAGAAAAAUUAUAUAAAUUUACAUAUAUGUUUAUUAAAUAAAAAUAAAAUCAAAACUUGAAAAUUCAGCUGGAUUGGUUAAAAUCGGUUCCCAAAUUAAAGUUCGGUCUGGUUUUUAAAACCGGUACAUGCUCCGAACGAUGUCGUUUGGGUAGCACAUUAUUUUAUUUUGCUAAAGAGCCCUAACUUGGGGAUGUGAUGGAGAAUAUAAAAGGGUAGAAGAUAAGCGGCGGAAAACGCGAGGAAGCUCUCCCUUUAUAACACACCUAAAAAUAAAAAAAAAACCUUUCACUUCUCAAUUUGAAUUCAAAAUCUAUUUCUCUUCCUUCUACCAUCGAUCUACCAUCUGAAUCUCACUCACUCAACACACGGAUCCUAAACCCUGAAUCAUUUCUUCGAAUCUUCACUUCUCUGGUCGCUUCUGCUCUUCUUCCCAAAUCUCCCUAUUUGGACUCGGUCUGCGCAAUUGGGCAUCUGGGUUUCUCGAAAAUCGAUCUCUUGCUGGUGUGGAAAUGGAUGAAAAGAGAGGGGUUUCGUCUGAACCGGCAUCGAUUCCUCCGGUUUGCUUCUUUCUAAGCUUUCCCGAUGACUUUUCUAUAUUACAUCGAAGUUUGUUUUUUUCUUUGUUAUUAUUACAAUUUGCUUAUGGGUUUGUGUUCUUUGUCUCUGGGCUGUUCUCAAUUUUGUAGCUUUCGGGACAGAAGCGUAACGGAGAUGGAUUAGAAGAGAGAGAUGAAUUAGGGUUUAAACGUGCGAAAGUGCGAGAUCUGGAUUCUGGUAAUCUCUGUUUAAUUCAGAUUUAGAAACUAUCUUUAUCACUGAGUUAUCCCAUGGGUUGUUGAAAAAGGUUCCUACUGUUUCUAUGUUUAUGGUACAGAUACUAAAAUUAGUAGUUUGCAACCAAAACUAAGUAGUGGACAGAUGUCUGAAGUGCUUGUGGCUCCUGCUGCUGAAGGUUUAGGAAGGGUAGUAGUGAGAGAAAAGGAUGUUUCCGCUAAAGAUGAUAAUAGAUUGGUUGCUAAUUCUGGAAAACAGGCUUUGCCUGAAAAGAAUGUUUUGGUUAAAGAUGAUAGUAAAUGCCAGUCACAACGAGGAGGACAAGUUGAUGCUGUUUCUAAAAAUAGCAGCCUCUUGAAACCGAGGGAGGUUUCUGAAUCCGUUGUUGUUAGUCCACGAGAUCCUUCGGUUUCAAAUCAGAUGUGUGGUGCAGAGGGUUCAUUGGAAAAGUCAGAUUCGAUGCGGCGGUGGAUGGAAAUGAAGCGAAAUGGUUUUCUCUCUGGCCCUUUGGGUGGAGUAUCAGCACCGAGCUCUGCAGCACCAACUACUCCUGUUGAAGUACCUGCGCAAAAGCAGCAGAAGAAUAAGAGACGAGGCGAUUCUGUAAAGAAAAGAAACGAAGCUCCUAGGAAGGAACAGCAGCAGGUAGAUAGGUUCUCGAAUGUUACCGCGCCAAGUGGAUUGCUG
RNAcentral lists this long non-coding RNA (3598 nucleotides) under Brassica napus (rape). RNAcentral describes it as "long non-coding RNA (BNAP_LNC013084)". The record is from RNAcentral. Lineage: Eukaryota; Viridiplantae; Streptophyta; Magnoliopsida; Brassicales; Brassicaceae.